CUUGCUGGAAGCUUUUUCCUAGAGGUUGAGCGGUUUGCACAAUGUCGGAAAUGGCUGAGUUGUCCGAGCUGUAUGAAGAGAGCAGUGACCUGCAGAUGGAUGUGAUGCCUGGCGAGGGUGACCUUCCGCAGAUGGAGAAUAGAACACAAUAGGACAGUGACUGCACAGUUGUGAAAAAGGAAGAGAAUCAUUAAAGAAAAAGAAAAAAGAUUUUAAGACCGUUGAAAUCAAUUAUCAAGAACGUCCUAAAACACCUAUGGCUUUGACUUUGUUAUUGAUCCAGAUUAUUUUCCUUGCAUUGGGGAAAAUAUCUUUCAUAUUUGUUUGCUGUAAAGAUGGUUUUGCAAGAAUAAGUCAUGACCAAGACAAACUGCCAAUACAAAAGCCCACUGAUACUAAUUAUAUAAUGAGAAAAAAAUGUAUCCAACUAGGACACAUAUCUUUUGAGUUAUUUGGACUGAAAGCUUAAGAAAACUUGGAAAAUUCUAUUUUGUGAUCUAGUCAAGCCACAGUUAUCAAAGGCUACAUUUUCAGUGUAAGAUAAAUGGAUGAGUAAACUCAAAUAUGUAUCACGUGUGCUUUGUAUCUUAAGAUGUGUUUCCAAGAGCAUCUGAAAUUUUGUUUGUACAUGUAUCUUGAUCAUUUAUAAAGCCACUGUGAUCUAUAAAUCAAGAAAAUCCAUUGUCAUAACCAUUUUUAAAAGUCAAAAAUUAAGACAUCCUUAAUUAAA
RNAcentral lists this long non-coding RNA (730 nucleotides) under Homo sapiens (human). RNAcentral describes it as "HSALNT0220047". Lineage: Eukaryota; Metazoa; Chordata; Mammalia; Primates; Hominidae. The record is from RNAcentral.